Molecule: long non-coding RNA, 269 nt
Filed under: Lathyrus oleraceus (garden pea)
Lineage: Eukaryota; Viridiplantae; Streptophyta; Magnoliopsida; Fabales; Fabaceae
Description: Pisum sativum (pea) long non-coding RNA (PSAT_LNC037239)
Source: RNAcentral
UUGCGCUCCGCUGGGAAAUAAGUAACCAUGUCUGUCAGAAUCGGCAAAGAAGUGAUCUUACAAGAAGAAUCCGUCUGGUACGGUGAGAGUCGGCCUGAAUACCGAAAAGAAUGUUUAACCUGGAUACCAAAAUAAAUGGUAACACAGGAAUAACCAUGGCCUAAAUGCCGCAUCCGCUGGGGAUUAUUUUUUUUUUUUGCUUUUUCUUGAACCCCAAAACUUCUUUGAUUUUUUUUUGCUUUUUCUUGAACCCCAAAAUUAAUAUUUCU